AGAAUGUAGCGGUACAAUUCUUCAGAUUCGACGUCUGAAGUGUAAAUACCAAGACAUACUUCCUCCUACCAGUAGACUUGAGACGAGAUCAACCUCCAUGACGUCAAGAAGACAAUUCCACCGCGAUAGUUCUGUGGAGAGAUUGGGAAGCCAAAGAGUAAGGCAGAGAGACCGUGUAAAUGUGUCUGAAUCUGUUACCGCUCCUGCCACGAUAGUGAUUCUUAGAUCCAGCAAGCAGCAGCGUAUGUGCAACAGGAAUACCUAUGAAAGCAGAAGGGGAACUCUCAUAAACGAUGAUUACACAAUGAAAAGCGUGAAAUGUGGAACCACAAUCAAUUCCAGAUUUUCUUCAGACGAAUUUUCAUCGAAUUCAACAUCCGGAAGUCUUACCAGCUACUCAGAGGUAAGAAUGAUCAAACUAAUCUUGUGAAUUUUUUAAGAAGCAGCUUUGGUCCAAAACAACCUGUCAAGCGAGACGAUAGGAGUUAGAUGAACUAUACUUUUGGGAUCUAGAACUUCGUUUCUCUUUCUAGUCGCAGACAUACAAAACCUUGUUUGUUUGAACUCGUCAUCAGUUACUACAAGUAAGAGUUGCAUGUCGUCUGGCUACAACGCAACGGUGUGUCAGGAACUUUACAGAACUCCCAUUCUAAUGAAGUCAAAGUUCUACUUAAACCCUAGCAGCACCACUAGAAUCAUUGGUCUGCUCAGCAAGUGUUUGUAAGCAGACCCCAACUAAAGACCACUAACUAGAGAAGAAAUUUGGACUUCAGGAUGAC
Molecule: long non-coding RNA, 779 nt
Filed under: Physcomitrium patens
Lineage: Eukaryota; Viridiplantae; Streptophyta; Bryopsida; Funariales; Funariaceae
Description: long non-coding RNA (PPAT_LNC002847)
Source: RNAcentral